Molecule: long non-coding RNA, 171 nt
Organism: Oncorhynchus kisutch (coho salmon)
Lineage: Eukaryota; Metazoa; Chordata; Actinopteri; Salmoniformes; Salmonidae
Exons: 2
Source: RefSeq, a predicted model, not a curated record
CUGACUCAAAGGAGACGAGACAGGAAAUUGGACCGGCCCUGUUAAUUUCUCGGAUGAUGGAACUCUGAAGCCUGCCAGAAAUGGGAAGAAAAGAUGUUUCCGUCAGAAUUUUCAGCCAGAUUCACAGAGCUCCGUAAUAGUCACACCCUGCCUAGCCGAUAUUAAGAAGAA